CAAACUGGGAUUAGAUACCCCACUAUGCUCAGCCUUAAACCUAAGUGAUUAUAACAACAAAAUCACUCGCCAGAGUACUACUAGCAACAGCUUAAAACUCAAAGGACUUGGCGGUGCUUCAUACCCCCUAGAGGAGCCUGUUCUAUAAUCGAUAAACCCCGAUCAACCUCACCAACCCUUGCUAAUUCAGUCUAUAUACCGCCAUCUCCAGCAAACCCCUAUAGGGAUCAAUAGUAAGCUUAACUAUUCAAACAUAAAAACGUUAGGUCAAGGUGUAACCGAUGGGAUGGGAAGAAAUGGGCUACAUUUUCUUGUCCUAAGAAAAUCUCAAAAUACUUACGAAAGCCCCCAUGAAACUGAGGGCCCAAGGAGGAUUUAGUAGUAAAUCAAGAACAGAGUGCUUGGUUGAACUAGGCCAUGGAGCACGCACACACCGCCCGUCACCCUC
RNAcentral lists this ribosomal RNA (448 nucleotides) under Camelus dromedarius (Arabian camel). RNAcentral describes it as "partial 12S ribosomal RNA". It matches the Rfam family "Bacterial small subunit ribosomal RNA", at positions 768 to 1404 of the family's 1533-position model. The record is from RNAcentral. Lineage: Eukaryota; Metazoa; Chordata; Mammalia; Artiodactyla; Camelidae.